GGGGUUGUGGCUCAGUGGUAGAGCACUCUCCUAGCACAUGUGAGGCACUGGGUUCAAUCCUCAACACCA
RNAcentral lists this transfer RNA (69 nucleotides) under Marmota marmota marmota (Alpine marmot). It matches the Rfam family "tRNA". From Rfam's summary of the family: Transfer RNA (tRNA) molecules are approximately 80 nucleotides in length. Lineage: Eukaryota; Metazoa; Chordata; Mammalia; Rodentia; Sciuridae. RNAcentral also lists the same sequence under 1 other name. The record is from Rfam by way of RNAcentral.